Molecule: non-coding RNA, 84 nt
Organism: Gammaproteobacteria bacterium RBG_16_37_9
Lineage: Bacteria; Pseudomonadati; Pseudomonadota; Gammaproteobacteria
Source: Rfam
GCCGGGGUGGUGGAAUUGGUAGACACACAAGCUUCAGAUGCUUGUGGAGGAAACUCCGUGGAGGUUCGAGUCCUCUCCUCGGCA